GGUCACGUGGCCGAGUGGUUAGGCACGGGUCUGCAAAACCCUUUACUCCGGUUCAAUUCCGGACGUGACCU
Molecule: transfer RNA, 71 nt
Filed under: Candidatus Moraniibacteriota bacterium
Lineage: Bacteria; Candidatus Moraniibacteriota
Description: tRNA-Cys
Rfam family: tRNA
About the family: Transfer RNA (tRNA) molecules are approximately 80 nucleotides in length. Their secondary structure includes four short double-helical elements and three loops (D, anti-codon, and T loops). Further hydrogen bonds mediate the characteristic L-shaped molecular structure. tRNAs have two regions of fundamental functional importance: the anti-codon, which is responsible for specific mRNA codon recognition, and the 3' end, to which the tRNAs corresponding amino acid is attached (by aminoacyl-tRNA synthetases). tRNAs cope with the degeneracy of the genetic code in two manners: having more than one tRNA (with a specific anti-codon) for a particular amino acid; and 'wobble' base-pairing, i.e. permitting non-standard base-pairing at the 3rd anti-codon position.
Source: RNAcentral